RNAcentral lists this long non-coding RNA (19007 nucleotides) under Ananas comosus (pineapple). RNAcentral's name for it is "long non-coding RNA (ACOM_LNC021869)". Lineage: Eukaryota; Viridiplantae; Streptophyta; Magnoliopsida; Poales; Bromeliaceae. The record is from RNAcentral.
GAGAGGCAAAAUCAUCACCUGAACAUGCUUCGCCACAUCGUUUGCUGACUGUCUAGUAAAUUAUUAUCUUUUUCAAGUUUCAUGUGUUAUUUCUUUCAGAGUGUCAGACGUCGAAAGUAGAGAUGAGACUAAAGGGCGGUUUGGUUUAGGGUUUGUAAUGUUUUAAAAUUUUAUAUGUUUUUUAUUUGGAAGAGAGAGAGAGAGAGAGAGAGAGAGAGGGAGCAUUGUUUAGAGUAUAUAUCCUAUUAGAGAGAGAGAGCAUUGUUUAGAGAGAGAGAGAGAGAGAGAGAGAGAGAGAGAGAGAGAGAGAGAUGCCAUUGUCUAGAGUAUCUUGUUAAAAGAAACAUUCUCAAGCCAAAAACCUACUAAUCUUUGCAAUGACAUCUAAUUGUGAUGUACUAGAUGGUUGGCCUACCAAUCUCUCUAUGCUGAUUUACAAAGAAAAGAGCUAGUAAAUAGUGCAAUUAAUAUUAGAUAUUUUGUAUAAUUUGUUUACUCAAGCUGGUACUGAAAUUAUUAGUUACACAUGUACAUCAACCAUUAAGUAUCUUUGAAAAUCCUUAAGUAUCUUCUUUCUUUUCUUUUUUUUUUGGAAGUAGCUAGCUGUUUAUUUCAAGAUUAGCCGAUCCGUUAUAAUUUUUCCUCAUUAUAUUGGAAAAUCAAGAGAGUUUAGUCGGGUGAUAAAUUGUGAUAGCAUAGAGGCUUGGAAAGAGAAAUUAAGUAAGGUAACAAGCAAUUAUGUACACUAAUUGUGAUUUACUCUAAAAAAGCUAGCAUAAGCUUCAUAUAUAUUUCUUUGCUUUAUCAAUGCUCGACAAAUAACAUAAACACAUUUCCCAUAGAAACAUAAAGGAAAAGAAACAUUAUCAAUGGUCGACAAAUAACAUAAAACAAAUCUCCUAUAGAAAAAUAAAGGGAAAGAAACAUUAAUUUCUUCCUUUCGAAAUAAUUUUACCUACACUAAAUCAUUCUAAAGUUCAAAAAAAAAAGGAAGCUAUUCGAAGCCACAAAUAUAUAUAUAUAUUUAUAGAGAGAGAAAGAGAGAGAGAGAGAGAGAGAGAGAGAGAGUGAAUGGGGCUACUAUAUUAUCUAUAGUAUCGGAUCUCCGGUACUGUAAUCUAGUUUUCGAUCUUAAGGUGUUCAAAUUAACAAUCCACAUCGUCAAAUAUGAUCUAAGAGAUAUAUAUAUUCACAUCACUUAAGUGUUGAACAAACAGAUGGGGGAGAUUUUAAGCUACUUUUGACAAAGAAGUGUGAAAUAAUUAUGGAAUUGAACCGAGUAAAUAAACAUGGAAACAUAUUUACAACUUGUCAUCAAGUUUUUAUUCUAUGAGGUGAAAAGACAAUUAAACAUGUAUCUAUAUGCAUGCCUCAAUUGGAUCAAAAGUCAUCGUAAUCUAUCAUCCGCGCGAUCAUGCUACGUGUUGUUUCAAUAGCGAAUGGGCGGCGUAUAAUAUAUGUUCACAGUAAUCACAAGUUCACAAAAAGUUGCUGCAGUGCUUCUCCAACCUCACGAAAUUUAGCUAAUCCUAUUUUAACAACAAUUGGCCAUGUGCAUGGUGAUCCAUUAGGUUUAUGUAUGUUGUUUGUAUAUUGUUGUUUUUCUCAUCCCAAAGUUGAGAAAAUGGGUCUACUUAGAUGACAUGUUCAAGGGUGGUUGCAUGAGUAAAAACAAUGUUAUAAAAGCAAACGCGACUUUAAUUAAGUAAUAUAGGAGGUAAAGUUGGUUUAGUGUACUUGAAUGAUGACUCAUACAACUCUUUUAUAGUUCCUAGCUAUAAUUAAUCAUGUGAAAAAGAAUUUCUUUCAAAGGCAACUCCUUGUGUAUAUGAGUAUAUCGAUCCCGUGUGGAUUAGUGAACUAAAUUAUGUUAGAUAAGCAUGACUUAAAUAUAUGAUUAGCCGUCGCAAAGCAACAAAAAUGGACUUAUUAUGUCACACCACCCCUAUAUAUGCUACAUUACCUAAAAAAAGCAGUACCUCUCAAGUACUUGGCUUCGAUUAAUUAAUUCACUUAGCGUGUAAAAAAUGUCUAUGGCGGUUAGGUCUAUUAGAGAACUCUCUUAUGUUAACAUUUACUACUUUAAGCUACUCCUUUCGGUACAUCCAUUGACAUCGAAUUAACUAAAGUAAAACAUGAUAAGCAUCCCUUAAGUUUAUGAGUAGCCGCCACAAGACAACAAAAGUGUGCUAACUUAUGUCACUUCCCCUCUAUUAUAACUACAUUAUCUGAAGAUUAAUAUUAAUUAUUCACUUUACGCGUACUUAAUUAGCUUCGAUUACUUAAGUGGCCACUUUAGCUCUUGCUUAUAAGCAAUUGUUCCUAUAUAUAAAUGCUUUGCAAAGCAUGUUCAAAUAAGCAACUAGCUCAUUUCCUCUUAUGGCAAAAGUUCACCCCUCCUCUUCUUCUUCUUCUUCUUCUUCUUCUACUUGUUGUUACAUGAGCGCGAAAAGGGAGAUUUUUACUAUAUGGAUGAAGUCCCUAGUGUUGAAUGGAAAUGGUUGCACCGUAUACGAUUCGAAGGGCCAAAUAAUAUUCCGCGUCGACAACUAUGAUUGCAAGUGUAGUGGCAAAGUGUAUCUAAUGGAUCUUAGUGGCAAGGUCCUCUUCAAGAUCCUAAAGAAGGUAAAUUCACAACUGAUCUCUUAAAAGGAUUUUUGAACUAAUUCAAUUCUGAUUUCUUGUUAUUAUUCUUGUUGGUGUUAUAGAAACUAUUCUUUGGGAGAUGGGAGGGCUAUAAGUGGAAUGGCCUACACCAAGAGGCAAAUCCAUGGUUCAAGGUUAAAAAACCAUGUAGAAUUCUCAAAGGAUCAAGUGAACAACCAUACUGUGAAAUUUGGAGCAAAAGUGGGCAACUUUUGUGCUACAAGAUCGAUGGAUUUAGUAGGAAAUCGUCGCCUUACAAGAUCGUCGAUAAUUUGAGUGGACUCGUCGUCGCGGAGGUACGUAAUUAAAGAGACUUAGGAUUAAUGUUUAAUUUGGUACUAAGAUUUGUUGAGUUUACAUUGUUUAGUGGAUUUGGAAUGUGCUCACAAUUGAUGUUCAAUUUUGUCUGAGACAGGUAAAGAGGAAGCAAACAAGCUCAGGAGUUGCAUUGGGAGAUGAUGUAUUUAGCUUAGUGGUUGAGCCCAACAUUGACCACUCACUUAUCAUGGGGCUUGUGAUUGUACAUGGGCUCAUGAAUCACAUCUUGUAAAAAAGCAUGAGAAAAUCAGCUUGCUAGAGGAUCUUUUUUUCUCUCUCUUUUCUUUUUUUUUUUGUUUUUCCUUUUUCUUUUCUUUUUAUUUUUUCUUCCUGUUUUGGUUUUUUUAGGAGAAAACUUCCAUUAGCCUCAUCGUGUUUAACAUAUUUUCACUUUGUUAUUCUAUGAUUUGAACUACAUCACUUUGCCCUUUUUUAUUUUGGUUUUGUUUUAUCACGAUGGCAAGAUGAUAUAAUUUACAAAUUGCGAAAAAAUAAAAUCAUUAGUGUAGCUAAAUGACACUCAACAAAUAACAGGGUACAGGAUGGUAAGUGAGAGGGGCUAAUUGAAAGUCUUUUUUUUUUUUUUCUAUUAUAUAUGCUUUUUUAUGUGUGUAGAUGUGGAGUUUGAGAAUGGUAGGGUUUUUACUUCACCUUUUCCUGCUGGGGUUUUAUGGAUCUUGGAAAGUUGUUUAGCCUCUUGGACUUUUAAUUAUAUUUCAAAAAAAAAUUUAUAAAAUAUAAAUGAAAAAGUAAAAAAAUAAAAUAAAAUACACGGCAUCGUGUCAGCCAAACAAGGACUGCCCAAACAAACCGUGUGUUAGCGAAACAAAGACUGCCCAAACAAACCGUGUCGUGUUGGGUGGCGAGAUUAAUGCUUUGGUAUGAGCCCGAAGAGAAAGUCUACUAUAUAUCAGUUACACCAUAAUAUUUAUAUUUAGCCAAUCAUACAUUUUUUUGAGAGAAAAAAGUAUAACAAAAAUAUAUAUUUUUUAAAUCAUGAUAAGAUGGGUGAAUUUUAGAGGCCAAAUGUGUUGGAGACGCUACAUCACUUAUAUAACAACUAUAUUUUAGACAUUUUUUUGAGCCCGAAUGGCGGAUGAAAUGUCUGACUAUCUUUGGUAUGAGCUCAAAUCAUUACUUUUUUUAGAAUAUAUGUUAUUUUUUAAGAGUGAGCCCAACCAACUACAGUAAACAGUCAUUUCAUUUAAAAGAUUUUGUGAUAGAAAAAAUUUUUCUCAAUCAACUUUCAAAGAUUAACAAAAUGAUGUGACAUGCCAAGUUAUUAUUUUAAACCAGUCAUUUCAAACUUUGAAUCUAGUGAUUAUCAUGACUAAUAUUACUAGAAACAGUGAUCAAUGGGCUAAGGAAUAAUAAUUUGGCAUUAGGUGUCAUAUUUUCAUACAAAAAAAGUAUACAAAAGAAUCAUGAUUCAAAACAAAUUUGAGCUACUUACAACAACAAAUCACAACAAAUCACAAAUUUUAGGAUGAAACUAUAAAUUUGAACAAUGGGAUGAAGGGUGUAAUUAAUUUACUCUCCACAGCCCAAUACUCCUCUCUCUCUCUCUCUCUCUCUCUCUCUCUCUCAUCUUCAUGCUUCUCAUGUGUAUCCCACCCAUGCACCUAAGUCUCCUACAUAAAUAACCCACAUGACUUCACUACACCAUCACUCACCCCAAUCAAGGGGAAUACCUGUAAACCUAUUCAUGUACAAUGCAAGGAAAAGUAAUAAAUUAUUUUCUCAUAAGGAAUCACCAUCACAUUGACUGAACAUCAUCACAUUAAACCAUGUGCACCUUUGGCUCCCAGAUCUGAGUGAUGAUCAAUGUUCAGCCAAUGAGAGGAUUCUUCCUUCACAGGGGCUUGCUUCUUUUUGUCAUUGGCAAACUGAAUUGUCUAUUUAAUAAUCCAACUAAAUAAUGGAAAUAUAAGUACUUUCUUUAUUGGGUUAAUUUAAUACAGGUCUUUGUAAAUAUAUUCCUAUAAAAUUUAAUUUUUAUAUAUUAUUUUUGCAAAAAUUUUAAUAUUUUUAAAUAUAUUCCUAUCGUUAGAAUCCGUUAGAAAAAAUUAGUUAACUAUAUGUAAAAUACUUAACCCUAAUUAGUUAAUAAAAUGAAUUGACCUUUUUAUCUCUCUUUAAUUAAGAGUUGAAGUUUUUGAAGGAACAUAUUUAUAAUGAUAAAAAAGUUAUUUUGCUUAUAAAAUAAACAGUACUUUAACUGUAACAAGCCAGAGGUACAUAUUUAAAAAUAUUAUAACUUUUAUGGAGAUAAAAUAUGAAAAUUGAACUUUGUAAGAAUAUAUUUAUAAUUUACUAUUUUUGCAGGACCCGUAUAAAAUUAAUCCUUCUUUAUUUUGUAGUCUCCUAGUAGAACAAUAAAAAAAAUGGCAUUUAUAAUAGUCCCUUUCAUCCUUGUUUAUUCUUACCUUAUUAGCUAAGUUCAGUUACCUAUAAUUUACUUGUUUGGCAAUAUGUAAUUGAGAAUGUUAUAGUUAUAAGGUGGAUUACAAAAUGAUCCUUCAAAAUUACUAACAUUUGUUGGCUUAAAAGGACCAAUAUCCUAUUCUGUGAUGAAAGAUCAGAUUAUGUCGAGACAUAUUUGAAAUGACGUGAGAUUGGAUUGAGUCGAGUCAUGAUCGAAGUGGCGUGAGGCUGGUUGGACUGAGUCACAAUCGAGAUUCGUAAAUGCCGUGUCUGUUCACUUUAAAUUAAUUAGUUGUAUAUUUCUAACUGUUCAAGUUUUGAAGAUUAAUGGUUACAAUAUAGGUUAUGACAUAACCUAUAUCGUAACUUAAAAUGCCGUGGACCAAACAAUCUCUUGAUAAAUAGAAACUUUGAAUGUAACAAAGAACUAAAUUGAAUUCUAAAUUUUAAGAAGUGCUACAAUUUAGAAAUAUCACCACUGAUUGAAAGUGGAAAAGACAUCAGGGAACCACAUUAUAAUCACUUAAAAGCUACAAAUUCCUUUUUGCCCGCAAAAAAUAGAUUAAGAAUUAUAAAAUGAAAAACAACAAUAAAUAAAAUUCCAUGUAUAGUACCAAGAACCGAGAUUACAACUACCAUCAGUUACAGCAAUUUGCACAUUGAUCAAUACAAAUAAACUACAUCUUAAUCUAAAGAAAAACCAAAAAACAAAAUGUAAAACAAAAACAAGGUAAAAAUGCAAUAGAUCGAUCUUACCUCAACUGCAGUGCGUUCUAAAAUAGAUUAUCCGAAAUUUAAAAAAGUUGAAGUACUUUUAAAAUCAAGCAGUAGAAUCAUCACGCAAUAAGACUAGGUUAUGAAAUCAAAUCUUUUAAAAUUGAUAAACCAAUUUCAAAAUGCACCGUAGAUCAGGAACAAUCCACGGAUUUUGUCACCGAAUCUAAAGGGAAAAACGGAAAACGAAAGGGGGUGGGAGGAGGAGAGCGGAGAGAUUAAUUAGGGUUUCACCAGCUCCGGCAUUGGGUGAUGGCGGAGCAGCCGCGGGAGUAGGGGUUGCCCUGGGCGCCGGGGCGGCAGUUGUAGUACGACGCCCCGCGCUGCGAGCACGGCACGCUGUCCCGCCGCAGCGCAUCGUAGCCGAUGUAUCCCCCCCACCCCCACAGCUCCCUCCGCCGCGCCCCCUCGUCCUCCGCCGCCGCGUCGGAGCCGAGAUCGAGCUCGCCGCCGCCGUGGGCCGCCGCGAUCCAGGUGAGAUCGCCGCCGCCGGAGGAGGUGGUGGCGGAGGAGAUCGGAGCGAUCGAGGCUCCGAGUAGGAGGAGGAGGAGGAGGAGGAGGAGGAGGAGGAGAAUGGAGUGGGCUAGGGUUCUCAUUGCGAUCUCUCUAUCUCUCUAGGGGGUUAUUUUGGGGGGGGGGGGGGGAUGUUGGGUUGUGAGGGAGAGGAGAGAGAGAGAGAGCGCGAGGAGAAAGGAGGGUUUUAAACAGCGAGAAGGGGAGAGAUAUGGUGCUGGGUUUUGGACGGAAUUACGAGAAUGCCACUACACUACGGGAGAGAUUCCUCAUAAUUGGGUAGUUGCGUUUGUGCGACUCGUUACUACCGCGUCCGUGUCGUCCUGUUAGUUAAUUACAAAUAUAAUAGAUUAUAAAUUUUAAUUUUAUAUUAUUAUUAUGUAAAAAAUUUUAAUAUUUAAAUAUAUCUCAGCCGUUAGAAUUCGUUAGAAAAUUUUAAUUAAUCAUAAAUAAAUACUUAAUUUGAUUAGUCCUAUAAAAUAACAUAAUAUUUUUGCCUUCUUAUAUUAUACUAUUUGACUUUUAGAAGAAUAUAUUUGUGAUAAUAAUAUUAACAUUUUAUUUAAAAUAUAAGCGGUUUUAUAACGGUAAUAAACUAGAAAGACAUAUUUAAAAAUAUUAAGAUUUUUAUAAAAAUAAUAUAUAAAAAUUAAACUUUAUAGAAAUAUAUUUGUAAUUUAUUGUAUUUGUAAAUAGCUGUAUGCAUUUAAUCCUAAAAAUAAAAAUAAAAAUGAAAAAAACAAUUUUUUUUCUUUCUUUUAUUUAAAGAGAAAUUAUUGCAUAUACUCUGUAAAUUUAUAUAUCUCAUGCACUAAACUUUGUCAAACUUAAAUUUUGGUUAAAUAAAUUUUAGAAGGUCCUCCUAUUUUUAUUAAAUACAUAUUAUUUAUUUUUUUAUUUGUGUAGUUUUCAACUUAAUGAUCAAAUUAAUUGGACUCGUUUCAUGCUUAAUUUUGGGUUUAAUAAGAAGAUGAGAACCUCCUCGUUGAAGUUUUAUUUAUUUAUUUAUUUAUUUUUUUGAUGACAUAUUUGCUCCACACCAUUCACAGAGUGACAGAAUCCAGGACGAGAUUUCAAAAACCCGAAAUCCGAACCCAUCUACUAAUUCUAAAAUCCGAAUACGAUGAAUUUUAAAAAUUCAUAUCCAAACUCGUACAGAUCAAAAAUUUAAAAUUCGAAUUCGAAAUAAUUAUUUCCUUUUAUAAUAUUUCAAAACAUAUUAUAUUAAAUAUAAUUUUUUAAAUACAAAUUGAAGUAUAACAAUAUAUAUAUAUAUAUAUAUAUAUAUAUAUAUAUAUAUAUAUAUAUAUAUAUAUAUAAAAUGUAGAGUAAAUUCCGGUUCGAGUCGAGUUCGAUUCUAAUCAGGUAUACAAUAAAUCCAUAUCUGAAUUUAUCGGGUUUUAUAGUCAUAUCUAAAACUGGAUCUGCUUAGCAUUGAAUAAAUCUGUUCUGAUUGGAUUUGAAUUCGAAUAAACUUUCGAGUAUCCAUGCCCUUCGGCAUCCCUAAGUAUAUAUGAUGAAGCUAUUGUAUUAACAUAAAGAGAGAGAGAGAGAGAGAGAGAGAGAGAGAGAGAUUUGUAUUAAAGUAUGUGUACAAGGUGGAACAGGAGGAAAUAAAGUAUUAAAAGGACUUCAACAGUACCUAACCAGUCCACUAGUAGAAAAAAAUGAACAACAAGGCUUAUUAGUUGGAGAAGUUCUACACUGUCACGCUUGCACCACGUCAUCAAUAACAAACCAAUCACAUAUCUUCUUUUCAAACAAAAGUACAAUAAAAAUAUUUUUUUACAAUCAUGAUGGGACAUAUAUUUUUAAAAAAAGUUAUUUGAUUGGUUUGUGACGCCACAUCACCAAUAUACCCGGUGUAUUCUAGAAUUUUUCUUAAUAGUUGAGGCUUAAUAGCUCCUGCAACCAUGGCCCACACCCACUUGGAAAACACUGCAGCUAGCUUCGAUUCAUAGUUUCAUACAUGUAUAUACAUGUACAUAAGUAGUUAUAUUUUAAUGAUCUCCCUGCGCAGUAUCAGUUUAAGCAGUAACAGUUUCCAAUGUUAGAUCCAUCUAAUUUCUUUAAUCACGUAAAAUGUGAUUAUAUAUAACAAACAUUAUAUAUAUAUAGCUUCAGAAAGAGAUUAAUUAGCACGCCACAUCUUUGACCGACCGUACCAAGUUCAGUUGAGUUCGAAGUCUAAUUAUUUUAUAUUUAUAAUUAAGUUCGUCUCCAAAAAAAAAAAAAAAAUCGACAUCUUUGUGAGAUCUAGAUUUGUCUUGUAGCGAUCACUCUUGAACGUACAUGAGUUUGGAGAGAACGGCUCAGGGAGUAAUGCUAUGCUCGCAUACAAAUCCUAUAACAUUUUAAUAGCGUACAAGAGAUGUAAAUAUAUAUAGUUGGUACAGUUCACAAGAAGGAUACAUAUAUAGAGUGUAAAUAACCAAAUAAUACUUUUUAAGAAAUUGCAAGAUGUACCGGCCGUCCCUAAUUGAUUCCCAAGUUUGAAUUCUAAUUGAUUUAUAUUUCCAGCUAAAUUUAUUUUUUUAAUGAAAUAAAGCGAAGCAGGUAGCAUGCUAUCUAGAGAUGUCAACGGAUUGGAUUCGAGGCAGAUUUUCAAAAAUCCGAACCGAACCCAACUCCAAACCCGAGAUCCGAACCCGAAUUUGAACCCGACGGAUUUUAAAUCCAUAUCCAAACCCGAACCCGACAAAAAAUCCGAAACCCGAAUCCGAAUCCGAAUCCGAACAUGAAAAUUUGAACCCGAAACAAUUAUUUCUUUUUUCAAUAUUUCAAAAUAUAUUAUAUUAAAUANCGAGUUCGAGUUCGGGUCGAGUACAGUCAAAAUCCAUAUCCAAAUCCAUAUUCAUCCGAUUUCUACUUUUGAUAUCCAUAUUCGAAUCUAUAUCCAGUUAGUAUCGAAUAUAUUCGUUUCAUUCGGGUUCGGAUUCGGAUAAAAUUUCGGGUACUUAUUGACAUCCCUAAUGCUACCUAUCAUUUAAAUUAUUAUUGUAUCAUUUAAAUUAAGUCAAUGCCUCGCCAUCUAAGAAACUGGGGUUUUAAGUAGGAGGAGCUUAUGAUUUUUAAGAGUCUAAAUGAUGUAGGCCUAAACUGUGUUGAGAGGAAAGAAAUAUAAACACGAAAAAAGAGUGAGACAUGAAAAAUUAAUUUUUCUACGAAGACGAAAAUAUUAUUAAUCAACUCUAAAAAUAUUUAUAUAGAGGCGAUAUUCGAAUCCUACUGUAAACUAAGAUAAUAAAUUUUAAUAUAUCUCUAGACUAAAUUAGAUAAAAAAAGAACCGAAUAAUCCGGCUCAGAAUAGACAAAUAUAAAGUUUUGUAAAAGUAAUCUAAAAAUAUAAAAACAAAUGCCAAAACAAUUGAAUUUUGGUUCCAAAUUCGGCUGAAACAUCUUUGCUGUUUGACAUGUGGAUUUCGAAAAGUAUUUUUUGAAUUAGAAUUGCACGUUAAAAUAAAUCGCUUGACCGAAAAAUUAGACAAUUUAAAAAUUUUUAAUGCUGAUUUGCAAAAAUUACUACACUCGGCCGCGGCCCAGCUCGGUUGAGUUACGUUUUUUCAGAAACUCUAGUACUAAAUUGACUACACCACUAAAAGUAUAUUUUUAUUUCUGGCUAUUUUAAAGGCUCCAAAUACUUUAUUUGACCAACACUUUAUUUCUACUUUGGAGUUGAAAAUUUGCUACAUGAAAAAAUAAAGCACCCAGGAAGUUAUUAGUCUAAGAGCAAUUAGUCUAAAUGCUACUACAUUUAUAGAAGAAAGUCUUCUAGAUUUCCUUAGUAAGAGUCAGUACCAUACACAUAAGAGCAACUUAUUUGUUUUAUUUUCUUAAAACCAAGCAUGAUGCCGUCGGAGACGAGGCUUGGGUUCCCGAAAAUGCUAUCCAUCCAAGUCCGGGCAUAUCUGGGCCAUCCAAUGUGGAUGUUCUUUAUAUAUUUCAGUUUAUAUGGACGGUGCAAUCGUCCUGUACGCAUUUUUUUUGCUGCAAAUGGGUUACACCCAAGCUUUGGCAUAAACGUCAACUUUAAAGAAAAACUACACCAAUCACUAAUUACCAAUAUGUACAGUACCAACUUAUAAAAAAUAUGGUUAAUUGCAUACAGCUCUCUGUAAAUAUAUCGAAUAAUAAAUAUAACCUUAUAAAGUUCAACUUUUCAUAUUUAUUUUUAUAAAAUUCUAACAUUUUCAAAUAUUCUCCUACUGUUAGGAUUCGUUAGAAAAAUAUAGUUAGUAAAAUAUUUUUACCCCUUUUAUAUUAUUUGUGAUAGUAUAAAGGAAGAAAAUAACCGUUGAAGGUUUUUGGAAGGAUAUUUCUGUAUAAUUCUAAACAGUUAGGGCUUUUGGAGGGACAUAUUUGUGAUCAGAAAAAUAUCAUUUUACUUAUCUUCCGUUAAAAAAUAAAUCGUGCUCCAGUGGUAACAAACCAGAGGGAUAAAUAUAAAUAUCACUGAAUUUUCGUAAAGAUAAAUAUAAAAAGUUGAACUUUGUAGGGAUAUUUUUAUUAUUCAAUAUAUUUAUAAGGAGCUGUAUGAAAUUAAUCCUAAAAAAAAAAAAACCUCUUGGGGGGUACACCGUACACAAAGCGCAAUUCAAAAAGUUUAAUCCGAGACCAAAAGUGUUUUGGGCCUAAGCUUCAGUUGCCCGGUCCAGGACCCGGCUCAAAAAUCGGGCCGGUAUCCGACCCGGUUUGUGCCCGAGCCCGGCCCAUUAAACGUGUCGCGAUUAGGGUUUUCGACUCCUCGAGGAUGAGGCGCACUAUAAAUACGAGCUCUUCGCCACACCUUUUUCAAUCUCUUCGUUUUCGUUUGCUACGCUCGUCGAUCCUCCGCCUCAUCCUCGUCCCCGGAUUUUUGGUAACCUUUCCCCCCACCCCUUAAACCCUAGACAUGUUUGAUCCAAUGUGUUUGAUCGAUCCUCUUUAUCCUUCUUUGUUGAUCUCCUUUCGUAGAUUUGGAUCUACUGUUCUCAAAUCGAAUUUUGCGAUCAAUUUGAUCUGCGCUUUAUUAGUUUCAUAAUUGUUGAUCUAGGGUUUUCUACAUAGGAACUGUUUAAUUUUAAAUCUCUUGAGUUCUUUAUCUGUGGGAAAAAUGGCUUUUUUUAUUUUUUUUCUUUUUUAAUCUAGUGAGAACAUUCCACGAUUAGAUGUGACUUGUUGUGUGCAGGAAAAUAGAUCUAUGAAUCGUGUGUGUACAAAGUUUCCACCUUUAUGAUGCCCAUAAAUCUUUAAAAAUUUGCAUACAUGUUAUCCCUGUUAUUAGAUGACUAUAGUAAUUAAGGGGUUAAUGUAGUUGUUUAGGCUUUUAGGAUUAUGCAUGCAAAAAAAAAAUACUUAUGAGGUAGUUUAAUUGUGUACCGGAAUGUAUUCUUCAUUCGAUUGAGGAUUUGUUCUGCACUGGUGUUUAGGGACGGAGCCAGGAUUUUUAUCUUUGUGGUGGAAACACAUGAUUGAUAAUCUGAUAGUGAAGAAGAAUUAUUGCUUUUAUUUUUGUGAUAGUUCUAGCUUAAUAUUAAUAUAUGCUUACUAAUGCAUUUAUUUAUAUUUGAUCUCCAAAAAAGACCUGUAUGCUCAGGUAACUCAACUCUUUGCUUUAGCACUAUGAACCUAUAGAAAACAUUUUAAAAUAGAAAAUGGUGUUUUAAUCAAAUCUGUCUCAAACUAUUUUCAAAUCAAUGAGUAAUGUUAAAAAGAAUUGAAUUUCUUUCUGGAUUAUAGUAUAUCGAUGUUUUCAUACUUGUGCCCAUUUUUCUCUCUUUCUGCAUCAAUUUCGAAAAUAUGUCAGCCGGAGAGUAAGCAUAACUAAGGUCUAGUUUGUGAAUGCAUUCUUCAUGAGGAACUGGUUAGGAAGCUACAUGCUUCGCCGGUGGAGGAUCCCACCUCUAUUUCAUAGCUGCGGAGGAGUGGAGCUUCAAUGCAAUUUUGGAUUUUUUGCGAGCUUUAAAUUAUUGAAGUGAUUGUGUUUUGAGAAUGAUAUCCUAAGCUAGGUCUAGAGAUAUCAUUUAGAUAGCCGUCUGUGUAGAUUGUCUUCACUGAGAAGUGGAACUAUACCAUUGUUGUGAUACUAUCAUGUGGGGUAGGCAGUAGGCACUAUAUAUCUAAGGGCUUUGUUCCAAUGGGGAGGUGGCUGGGUGGGAUGAGGGAGUGAACCAUAAGGCCUUAUUGCCCGCUUUCAAUGGCAUUACUAGGAUACUUCAUGAAUCGUGACACUGAACUUUCAUUUGAGUAGUAAUCUCUAGAAUUUGUUGAAUUUGCUUUGCAACUUUGUCUUUUAUCUGAACCUUUGCAUGCAUCCAGGCUUUUGUUGUGUCUCUUUCGCAAAUCCGGCAAGAUGCAGAAUGAGGAAGGGCAGAUGAUGGAUCUCUACAUCCCGCGGAAAUGGUACAUGAAAUAACUGUCAUUGGACUCGAAUUUGUUGAAAUGUUUCUAUUUUUCUAUUCUUUAGCUUCUGAUGGUAUCAUCAAUCUUAUCUACUUUUUUUUUUUCCUUUUUUAUUCUUUUUUUUUGGGGGGGGCAGUUCUGCCACUAACAGGCUGAUUACAGCAAAGGACCAUGCUUCUGUCCAGAUUAAUGUUGGGCAUUUGGAUGAGAAUGGUAUUUACACCGGCCAGUCAACCACCUAUGCUCUCAGCGGUUCCGUUCGUGCCCAGGUACAACAUUGGGCUAUCUACCUUUUUUUGGGGGGGUUUUAGUUACACGAGCAUCAUGCAAACAUAGAAAUUAAGAAUCUGUCGCUUUUAAUGUAUACUUUUAUUGUCUUUGAUAGUUUAGUCUCCUAAGUAAUUUGUUAUUUCUUUUAUCUUCUAUCUUUUAUUUUGCAAUUAGUGCCAACUAAGCUUUCUAGUUCUUUGCUUUCUAGGAUCAGCUCAACUCAAAUAACCUAUGAUAAAGUGUGUUAAUGGCUGGGUCAUAACCAUGCCUGGAUAGGGAUUUGAAUGUAACCCAAUCGGCCUUGUCCUAGGAGAUUUUUGUUGGAACAGGUUAGCCUGUCCUUGGGCUUCUAGUUAUUUAAUUCCUACAGGCCUGUGUCCUAUCUUUAGCCUAAGAAACGUUAGGCUUUGCCUUUUGUACCCCAUUUGGUGCAUAAUGUAUUACUUUCUCAUGAUUAGGAUCUAUUAAAUUUAAUACCUUGCUAAUUGAGUCGCAUGUUUUAGCUUCUUUUUUCUAAAAAACUUAUUUGGUGUGUAAUCAUUAUUAUUCUCUGUAGCUGGUGAUCCUAAGUAUUCUCUCAUUAUUUCCUCUAGAGUAAUUGCUGGUGUAUCUCUGCAACUAGCUCAAAUAACAGAUUAUCCUUGCACACUUUCAAAAACUAAGUUUAUUUCAUUCUUUCAAACUUAAAAAAAAAACCUUCCAAAAGUGUUCCUCGACCAACCAAAUGUUUUUAAAUGACCAUUAUGCCUCCUCUCCCUCCCACAAUAAGUCCGUCGAACUGAUGGUGUUGCAGCUGCACGGCAUUGGUAGCUAAAUCUCACUGAAACAACACUGAACCACAUUGAGUGCGAAAUGGCAAAACGACCAUUUAAUCAAAAAGGGUAUCUGUGAUCUGUCAAUAGAUAUUGUCUUUAUUGAAGUUUCUGAAGUUUGGGAGUUAUUCAUAAUGUUUGCAGCUAGUCGACUCUAAUUAAACCUUGUUGUUUUUUCAAUUGAAACUCUCUUGUUUGGUUGCUUUUUAGGGCGAUGCCGACAGUGCUCUUGAUCGGCUCUGGCAAAAGAAGAAAGCCGAAAUCCGACAACAGUAGAUUUUCUGUUCUAGAUUAUUAUGUUCGAUCACCGAGCUCGAGAUGGCUUUCGUAAGAAUCGAUUGAGGUUUAAGAGUGAAUUUGUUCUGAAAUUCGGAGUGGAUCCUUUGUUCUAAACAUUACUCUCAGCUUUUUGUCAAACUAUCAGAAUUGUUAGGGCUCUCUUGAAUUCUAAUUUGAUUACUUUUGAACUUAAGAGGCUUUUACAGCUUCAAAGUGUUUGGAUACGGAGAGAUGGUUCGGCUGAGAUUUCUUAUUUGCUUUUUAUGCCUUCUUGUAUGUUAAUGUUUAAGUAGGUUAGUCAGAGAAAAAUUUGCCUCUUUUUUGGUUGAAAGGAAGGGGAUAAAAAGAUGGAAAAUUUUAUUUGUACGUCCCAAAAGAAUUUAUGAAAAUCUAAAUAGAUUUUAGUGAAAAAAAAUUGAUGUAAGGAACAGUUGAUGAUAGUUGUUGAGAUAUGUAAUAUUUUAAAAAUAUUAUAUUUUAUAUAUUCGGAACGGUAAGUUUCUUCGGUAAUCUUGUAUUCUUACUAUCUAGAUAUCUACAAUAAUUUUACUGCUUCAUUAAACACUUUUUAGUACUUUUCAACUUGAAAUUGAUGAUGAUCAUUUAAAUAUUUUUCAAUAAAAAAUACGUUACAAAAAAUAUUGCAAAUCUAGGGCCAAACAUUUCUAAGUGUAAUUGAUAAGUGAAAUGUUUGGCCCUAGAUAUCUACAAUAAUUUUACUGCUUCAUUAAACACUUUUUAGUACUUUUCAACUUGAAAUUGAUGAUGAUCAUUUAAAUAUUUUUCAAUAAAAAAUACGUUACAAAAAAUAUUGCAAAUCUAGGGCCAAACAUUUCUAAGUGUAAUUGAUAAGUCAAAUUUUUUUAUCUAAUUUUUAAAUUAGAUAUCAAUUCUGAAAUAUUAAGGCUUCGUUUUGGGAUUGCGGGAAGAUUACGUUACGUACCUUGUUUGUUUCCGUACACGAGUCGGUUACGAUAUAUUUUCUGCAGUCCCACCGGAGAACGCAGAAGCUGCAGUCCCAUCGGAGAAUGCAGAAGCAUAUCUUUAUAUACUUUUUCUUCAAUUCUAUUUUAUCUAAUAGCGUUAGAUAGACCUCAAUACUAAACUAAGUCUAAAUCAGUCUAUAGUCCCAUCGGAGAACGCAGAAGCUGCAGUCCCAUCGGAGAAUGCAGAAGCAUAUCUUUAUAUGCUUUUUCCUCAAUUCUAUUUUAUUUAAUAACGUUAGAUAGAUCUCAAUACUAAACUAAGCCUAAAUCAGUAGUAAAUCGGCGUUACUAAAAUGGUCACUGGUCUAUCAAUUAUUUUUUAACAGUAUAUUCUGAGAUGCUCACAGGCUUCAGUACAAGAGGCUGUGGUACAACUACUAUUUGAACGGGUACGAGUUGCAGUGUUUCCCUGCAGGGUUCACUUAACUCCUCUUCGCAUUGUUUGAAGGACAUUGCAUUUGUCCCAAAAUUUAAGCAAACCUUUACAAUGUUGUCGGUGGACCCGGUAUCGAAUGCACCAAUCCAAUCUCGUGAUGUUCGGAUCCCAAACAUCAGUUUUAUAUCCAAUUAAUAUUGUUCUAUUCAUCCGAAACCCGUCCCAAUAACCAAAAGCUAACGCUUAACAGUAGCACCCCAGUUAAGUAGGUCAUCAAAUUUCGCAUUCGAUCUCAUACGGGUAUAUACGGGUCCCCCACUAACCUAAAUGGAUGGAUUGGUUUAAAUGGAUCAGUAUUCUACCCUAUGACAGAAGGCUAUGUUAGGCCUAUUCAAGUUCAAGAUGGCAUGAGGUUAAGUGGCCAAAGUCAUGUUCGAAAUAACGUGAGGUUGGUUGAGUCAAAUCAUAUUCGAGACCCGUAGGCGUUAUAUUUGUACGCUUUAAGUGAGUUCAUUAUAUAUAUUUAAUAACUCGAGCUCUUAGAAUUAAUAGUUAGCGCCAACGAUUCAUAAGUGGUAUCAAAGCUAGUGGUGAUUCCAACAUGCUGUAUUAACAGUGCAGGUAUUGAUGAGGGGGAUUAUUGGCUAUUUAUUAUUGGAUUAAAAUAGGUCAAACUUUCUGCCUCGUAAAAAUAGACCUAGGAGACUAUGAGACUAAUAAGUUGAGUUGGAUGAGCCUAAUAAGUUGAGUGGGAUUGCGAUUCACAAGAGAGCUAACGGCAAGAAGUCUAACAAUAGACCUAAUGUUCAGAUAGAUUGAGUCAAGUUGAAGCCCGUGAACACUGUAGUUGAGCUCUUAAGUGCGAUUAAUGUGCCCUUCCGAUCAGUACCUAAAUCCACAAAUCGUACCUAAAUCCAAAUCAAAAACACCCUCCAACCUUGUGUACAAAACAAUGUUCACUUGACUCGUCAAUCUACAACAAGAUUGGUGUUAGCAAUGGUUUACUUAUUUUCUAAUCCUUUCUCCUCAAUUGGUGCUUAAGCUAAGAUGGAGCCAAUAACUUAUAUUUAUAUAUACAUAUUUGUAUAUGAAGUUACAUUUUGUUGUACAACAGCGAUGGUUACAUAUAUACGAGAAUGUUGACGGCGAAAUCCGAACCACUAGUAAUACUGGAUCUAUCCUUUAAUGGAUGAUAUAUAUAUAUAUUAGGUCGAAACGUGCACGUAAAAGCGUGCUCGAUUAGUAGUUGAUCAUGUGUUUUAAUGAGUUGAUUUGGGAGUUUGCUUAUUUAAUUCAUCAUGUGUUUUAUAAGAAAGUUAAUCUUCAAAAUUCAUUUAUUGACUAAAUCAGAAGUACUUCGGUCCCACUCUAAAGAUUUUGUUUAAACUAAUUUCUUCAUAGUUAUCAAAAAUUCGUUCUCUACAUGCUGAAACAUGAGAGAUAAAAACAAAAAUUUUGGUAUGUAUAUAUAAUGUAUAAUAAAGAUAUCUGUGGAUUUUGAUUCUAAUGAUUUUGCAUAUUUUAAAUUGUGGCUUUGGUUGCUCUCAUGGUUCCUAACCAAAAACAUAAGGUGGCAAUCCAUGAUAACUUCUUUUCUCUUUUUUUUUUUUUUUCCUUUUUUUUAAAAGGGUUACAUUGUUUUUUCAAAUAAAAAAAAUGGUUAAUUAUGAACUUACACAUUCCUUCUCACUUAAGGCUCCUAGUCAUGUAUCUAACUCUCUUCUCUAAAUGGCCCAACAAAUCUCUUUUUCAAAUUGCCCUAUUGCUUGCCUUUAUAAAGAUGCCAUUCCCUUUGAAUGCCCGCAUCCAUCAGUGUCAUUGUAUCAUUUCCUCAACAAAUUAAAAAAAAAGGCCAUCACUGCACCAUUGAUAACUACUUUUAUUAUUUUUAAUUAUAGAAGUAUAAAAUCGGCUGUGUUUAGCACAAAUGACAAAAGACUUGAUGGUUGACAUUCGAUAUCUCAAAUUCCAAACCUAAUUAUUUCACAUUUCACCAACUGUCUCUAACGCAAGUGGCAAAUGACUUAGCAGUCCUGAGUUCGAAUCCUAGUUGAUUCAUAUUUUUAGUUAAGUUUAUUUUUAAAUGAAAUAAACGAAGCAAAUAGUAUACUGCCUAUCUCUCAAAAAAAAAAUUUAUUUCAUAUUUUCGGCUAAAUUUAUUUUUAAAAAAAAAAUAAUUAAAAAGAUCAAAGCCAUGAGUUACGUUGUUCAUACUAGCUCAUACUCCAUUAUGUACUACAAAAUAUUAUAUCCUUAUUAUGUUAGUCCCCUUUUUUAAAGGGGAAAAAAAGGAAAACCCUACAAGAGGUUGAUUGAUCAUGAGAGAAUAAACAUAAAAUAAAAAUUAGGUUAUUUGCUACGUUUGACCACUAACUUUUACUCAAUUUUCACUUUAUUUUCUAACUUUUUAUUUUUAUUUUCUGUUUUUCUGCUUAUAGGUUUCCAAUAUUUAUAUUUUAUUUUAACUAGGUUUUAAGUAUUCAAAUUUUCAUUCAUUUUAACAGAAUAAAUCAGUAGUUGCACGGUUUUUAUCUUCUCAAUAUGGCGCGAGAUGGCCUUUUCACAUCCAAGAUUGGGUUGCUUUUUGAGUAGGGAUGUGAACGAGUCGGAUUCGGAGCGAAUUUUCAAAAAUUCGAACCCGAACUUGACUUCAAAUUCAAAACCCAAAUCCGAAAUUGAAUCUGAACCCGAACCCGACGGAUUUUAAAAAUUCAUAUUCAAACCCGAAUCUAUCCAAAUCAGAAACUUGAAUCCGAACCUAAAAAUCUAAAUCCGAUCAUCCUUUUUUAAGACGUCGUUCGAUUUUGACCAUUCAUUUUAUGCGCACUUGAUGGACUUUAUUAUGAUUUCGAAAAUUUACGAAAUUUAUUUUCUAGAAGUUUCAAAUACUUUAAAUCAUAUUUAACGGAGUUAAUCGUCGAUUCGGAAGCUCCAUCAUUGAAAACAACUUAUGAGUACGAAGGCUCCAAUACUCGUAAUAGUAUAGUAGUCAUGGCCUAUAUAUAUAUAUAUAUAUAUAUAUAUAUGUAUAUAUAUAUAUAUAUAUAAUUAGGCUACUAUACUAUCUAUAGUACCGGAGCUCCGGUACUAUAGUCUUGUUUUCGAUCUUAGGGUGUUCAAAUUAACGAUCCACACCGUUAAAUAUGAUCUAGGGUAUAUAAAGUUCUUAAGAAUAAAAUUUUAGUUUUUUUCGACAUUGUUUACUUAGUAAAUAAAUUAUGCCAAAAU